GUACUGACGAAGAGUCCCAAACUAAGACGAAACAGCUGUCCAGUAC
Molecule: non-coding RNA, 46 nt
Filed under: Trichobilharzia regenti
Lineage: Eukaryota; Metazoa; Platyhelminthes; Trematoda; Strigeidida; Schistosomatidae
Source: RNAcentral